This 210-nucleotide ribosomal RNA is filed under the name Staphylococcus aureus. Its description in RNAcentral is "partial 16S ribosomal RNA". It matches the Rfam family "Bacterial small subunit ribosomal RNA", at positions 30 to 239 of the family's 1533-position model. Lineage: Bacteria; Bacillati; Bacillota; Bacilli; Caryophanales; Staphylococcaceae. The record is from RNAcentral.
UGAACGCUGGCGGCGUGCCUAAUACAUGCAAGUCGAGCGAACGGACGAGAAGCUUGCUUCUCUGAUGUUAGCGGCGGACGGGUGAGUAACACGUGGAUAACCUACCUAUAAGACUGGGAUAACUUCGGGAAACCGGAGCUAAUACCGGAUAAUAUUUUGUUCAAAAGUGAAAGACGGUCUUGCUGUCACUUAUAGAUGGAUCCGCGCUGC